GGUAAUUUAAUCUUAUAAUCAAAAUAAAUGGAUCAAAAAUAUAUAAAUAAAUAUAUAAAAACAAAGAGGAGUUAAAUAAUAUUCCUCCCAUCACCCCAACAAAACAAUAUAUUCCCACUCAAUGUAAAUAAAACAAACAAUGAAUAAAUAAGAAAAUUGUCAAACUCUAUAGGGUCUUCUCGUCCCAUAAAAACAUCUAAGAAUUUUAACUCAAAAACCAAAUUCAAUAAACCAAUACCCCCAAGACAGCUUAUGUCUCGUCAAGCCAUUCAUACCAGAUCACAAUUAAAGAACUAAUGAUUAUGCUACCUUUGCACGGUCAAAAUACCGCGGCCCUUCAACUCCAAGUCAGUGGGCAGGCCAUACUUCAAAAACUAACAAGAAAAGAUGUUUUUGUUAAACAGGCGGACAUAAAAUUUUGCCGAAUUCCUUAAAAGCAAUUAACAUCUCACCAUCUCACAAAACAACCAAUAAAAUUUACUAAUUACACAAUAAUUACCAUACAAACCAAAAGUAAAGAAAACAUUUCAAUAAAUAACUUAAAUCAAUAAAAAAUUAAAAAAAGAACAAAUAAAAUUUUAACAUAAUCAAAUAGAAAAUCACCAUAAAAUCCACAAAACUAAAUUAACCACAAAUAAUUAUAAAAACUAGAACAAGGAGCUAAUCCCCCUCAAUCUUAACAUCAAAUAAAAAUAAAUAAAUCAACAACAGAAAUUAAAUAAGAUGCAUGAAUUAAA
This 737-nucleotide ribosomal RNA is filed under the name Nasutitermes matangensis. RNAcentral describes it as "partial 16S rRNA". The record is from RNAcentral. Lineage: Eukaryota; Metazoa; Arthropoda; Insecta; Blattodea; Termitidae.